UGAUUUACAUUUGAGUGAGUGGCGAACUGGUGAGUAACACGUGGGAAACCUGCCCAGAAGCGGGGGAUAACACCUGGAAACAGAUGCUAAUACCGCAUAACAACUUGGACCGCAUGGUCCGAGCUUGAAAGAUGGCUUCGGCUAUCACUUUUGGAUGGUCCCGCGGCGUAUUAGCUAGAUGGUGGGGUAACGGCUCACCAUGGCAAUGAUACGUAGCCGACCUGAGAGGGUAAUCGGCCACAUUGGGACUGAGACACGGCCCAAACUCCUACGGGAGGCAGCAGUAGGGAAUCUUCCACAAUGGACGAAAGUCUGAUGGAGCAACGCCGCGUGAGUGAAGAAGGGUUUCGGCUCGUAAAACUCUGUUGUUAAAGAAGAACAUAUCUGAGAGUAACUGUUCAGGUAUUGACGGUAUUUAACCAGAAAGCCACGGCUAACUACGUGCCAGCAGCCGCGGUAAUACGUAGGUGGCAAGCGUUGUCCGGAUUUAUUGGGCGUAAAGCGAGCGCAGGCGGUUUUUUAAGUCUGAUGUGAAAGCCUUCGGCUCAACCGAAGAAGUGCAUCGGAAACUGGGAAACUUGAGUGCAGAAGAGGACAGUGGAACUCCAUGUGUAGCGGUGAAAUGCGUAGAUAUAUGGAAGAACACCAGUGGCGAAGGCGGCUGUCUGGUCUGUAACUGACGCUGAGGCUCGAAAGUAUGGGUAGCAAACAGGAUUAGAUACCCUGGUAGUCCAUACCGUAAACGAUGAAUGCUAAGUGUUGGAGGGUUUCCGCCCUUCAGUGCUGCAGCUAACGCAUUAAGCAUUCCGCCUGGGGAGUACGGCCGCAAGGCUGAAACUCAAAGGAAUUGACGGGGGCCCGCACAAGCGGUGGAGCAUGUGGUUUAAUUCGAAGCUACGCGAAGAACCUUACCAGGUCUUGACAUACUAUGCAAAUCUAAGAGAUUAGACGUUCCCUUCGGGGACAUGGAUACAGGUGGUGCAUGGUUGUCGUCAGCUCGUGUCGUGAGAUGUUGGGUUAAGUCCCGCAACGAGCGCAACCCUUAUUAUCAGUUGCCAGCAUUAAGUUGGGCACUCUGGUGAGACUGCCGGUGACAAACCGGAGGAAGGUGGGGAUGACGUCAAAUCAUCAUGCCCCUUAUGACCUGGGCUACACACGUGCUACAAUGGAUGGUACAACGAGUUGCGAACUCGCGAGAGUAAGCUAAUCUCUUAAAGCCAUUCUCAGUUCGGAUUGUAGGCUGCAACUCGCCUACAUGAAGUCGGAAUCGCUAGUAAUCGCGGAUCAGCAUGCCGCGGUGAAUACGUUCCCGGGCCUUGUACACACCGCCCGUC
Molecule: ribosomal RNA, 1334 nt
Filed under: Lactiplantibacillus plantarum
Lineage: Bacteria; Bacillati; Bacillota; Bacilli; Lactobacillales; Lactobacillaceae
Description: bacterial SSU rRNA
Rfam family: Bacterial small subunit ribosomal RNA
Source: RNAcentral